CGUGCAAAGGUAGCAUAAUCAUUUGCCCUAUAAUUGAGGGCUAGUAUGAAUGGUUUGACAAGAAUAAUGCUGUCUCCAUAAAAAUUUUUAGAACUUAUUUUUUAGGUGAAGAAACCUAAAUAAGAUUAAAAGACAAGAAGACCCUAUCGAGCUUUAAAUUUAUUUAUAAAAUAAAAAAAAUUUAUAAUAUUUUUAAUUAUAAAAAAUUUUGGUUGGGGCGACUAAGGAACAAAAAAAGCUUCUUUUAAAAAUAUAGAUUUGUGAAUUGUGAUCCAUUAUUAUAAUGAUUAAAAGAAUUAGUUACCGUAGGGAUAACAGCAUAAUCCUUUUUGAGAGUUCUUAUCGAAAAAAGGGUUUGUGACCUCGAAUGUU
RNAcentral lists this ribosomal RNA (372 nucleotides) under Euspira fusca. RNAcentral describes it as "partial 16S ribosomal RNA". It matches the Rfam family "Bacterial large subunit ribosomal RNA", at positions 1947 to 2533 of the family's 2925-position model. The record is from RNAcentral. Lineage: Eukaryota; Metazoa; Mollusca; Gastropoda; Littorinimorpha; Naticidae.